UGGGGAAUUUUCCGCAAUGGGCGAAAGCCUGACGGAGCAAGACCGCGUGGGGGAAGAAGGUUUGUGGAUUGUAAACCCCUUUUGAUUGGGAAGAUGAUGACGGUACCAAUCGAAUCAGCCUCGGCUAACUCCGUGCCAGCAGCCGCGGUAAUACGGAGGAGGCAAGCGUUAUCCGGAAUUAUUGGGCGUAAAGCGUCCGUAGGUGGAUAUUCGUGUCAGUUGUUAAAGGAUGCGGCUUAACCGCAUAAAGGCGAUUGAAACUGGAUGUCUAGAGUGCGAUAGGGGCAAGGGGAAUUCCCAGUGUAGCGGUGAAAUGCGUAGAUAUUGGGAAGAACACCGGUGGCGAAAGCGCCUUGCUGGGUCUGCACUGACACUGAGGGACGAAAGCUAGGGGAGCGAAAGGGAUUAGAUACCCCUGUAGUCCUAGCUGUAAACGAUGGGUACUAGGCGUUGUCCGUAUCGACCCGGGCAGUGCCGUAGCUAACGCGUUAACGUACCCCGCCUGGGGAGUACGCUCGCAAG
RNAcentral lists this ribosomal RNA (522 nucleotides) under uncultured cyanobacterium. RNAcentral's name for it is "bacterial SSU rRNA". It matches the Rfam family "Bacterial small subunit ribosomal RNA", at positions 355 to 892 of the family's 1533-position model. Lineage: Bacteria; Bacillati; Cyanobacteriota. The record is from RNAcentral.